This 3281-nucleotide long non-coding RNA is filed under the name Citrus x clementina. Its description in RNAcentral is "Citrus clementina (C. clementina) long non-coding RNA (CCLE_LNC003198)". The record is from RNAcentral. Lineage: Eukaryota; Viridiplantae; Streptophyta; Magnoliopsida; Sapindales; Rutaceae.
UGGUGGGGGGCGUGGGCGAAGAUCUUCCGCGGACUCGGAAUGGCCCCAGACUUUGCGGGCGGCCUCCGUGCGCCAAAAAUAGGCCACGGGCACAGCCGCGCCAAAAAAUGAGCGCCCGAAGGUCGGGGCGCCAACACCCCCCAGCGGAAAAUUGGCCGAAAAACGGGUGGCCUAUAGCCUUGGUGGGGGGCGUGGGCGAAGUUCUUCUGCCGGACUCGGAAUGGCCCCAGACUUUGCGGGCGGCCUCCGUGUGCCAAAAAUAGGCCACGGGCACAGCCGCGCCCAAAAAUGUGUUCCCGAAGGUCGGGGCGCCAACACCCCCCAGCGGAAAAAUGGCCUUGAAACGGGUGUGCUAUAGCCUUGGUGGGGGGCGUGGGCGAAGUUCGUCCGCCGGACUCGGAAUGGCCCCAGACUUUGCGGGCGGCCUCCGUGUGCCAAAAAUAGGCCACGGGCACAGCCGCGCCCAAAAAUGAGCGCCCGAAGGUCGGGGCGCCAGCACCCCCAAGCGGAAAAAUGGCCAAAAAACGGGUGGGCUAUAGGCUUGGCGGGGGGCGUGGGCGAAGUUCGUCCGCCGGACUCGGAAUGGCCCCAGACUUUGCGGGCGGCCUCCGUGCGCCAAAUAUAGGCCACGGGCACAGCCGCGCCCAAAAAUGAGCGCCCGAAGGUCGGGGCGCCAACACCCCCCAGCGGAAAAUUGGCCGAAAUACGGGUGGCCUAUAGCCUUUGUGGGGGGCGUGGGCGAAGUUCGUCCGCCGGACUCGGAAAGGCCCCAGACUUUGCGGGCGGCCUCCGUGUGCCAAAGAUAGGCCACGGGCACAGCCGCGCCCAAAAAUGAGCUCCCGAAGGUCGUGUUCCAACACCCCCCAGCGGAAAAUUGGCCAAAAAACGGGUGGGCUAUAGCCAUUGCAGGGGGCGUGGGCGAAGUUCGUCCGCCGGACUCAGAAAGGCCCCAGACUUUGCGGGCGGCCUCCGUGUGCCAAAAAUAGGCCACGGGCACAGCCGCGCCCUAAAAUGAGCUCCCGAAGGUCGGGUUCCAACACCCCCCAGCGGAAAAUUGGCCAAAAAACGUGUGGGCUAUAGCCUUGGUGGGGGGCGUGGGCGAAGUUCGUCCGCCGGACUCGGAAUGGCCCCAGACUUUGCGGGCGGCCUUCCGUGUGCCAAAAAUAGGCCACGGGCACAGCCGCGCCCAAAAAUGAGUGCCCGAAGGUCGGGCCGCCAACACCCCCCAGCGGAAAAAUGGCCAAAAAACGGGUGUGCUAUAGCCUUGGCGGGGGGCGUGGGCGAAGUUCGUCCGCCGGACUCGGAAUGGCCCCAGACUUUGCGGGCGGCCUCCGUGUGCUAAAAAUAGGCCACGGGCACAGCCGCGCCCAAAAAUGAGCGCCCGAAGGUCGGGGCGCCAGCACCCCCCAGCGGAAAAAUGGCCCAGAAACGGGUGGGCUAUAGCCUUGGCGGGGGGCGUGGGCGAAGUUCGUCCGCCGGACUCGGAAUGGUCCCAGACUUUGCGGGCGACCUCCGUGUGCCCAAAAUAGGCCACGGGCACAGCCGCGCCCAAAAAUGAGCGCCCGAAGGUCGGGGCGCCAACAGUCGCCAGCGGAAAAAUGGCCAAAAAACGGGUGGGCUAUAGCCUUCGUGGGGGGCGUGGGCGAUGGAAGCCGCCGGACUCGGAAUGGCCCCAGACUUUGCGGGCGGCCUCCGUGCGCCAAAAAUAGGCCACGGGCACAGCCGCGCCAAAAAAUGAGCGCCCGAAGGUCGGGGCGCCAACACCCCCCAGCGGAAAAUUGGCCGAAAAACGGGUGGCCUAUAGCCUUGGUGGGGGGCGUGGGCGAAGUUCGUCCGCCGGACUCGGAAUGGCCCCAGACUUUGCGGGCGGCCUCCGUGUGCCAAAAAUAGGCCACGGGCACAGCCGCGCCCAAAAAUGAGUUCCCGAAGGUCGGGGCGCCAACACCCCCCAGCGGAAAAAUGGCCUUGAAACGGGUGUGCUAUAGCCUUGGUGGGGGGCGUGGGCGAAGUUCGUCCGCCGGACUCGGAAUGGCCCCAGACUUUGCGGGCGGCCUCCGUGUGCCAAAAAUAGGCCACGGGCACAGCCGCGCCCAAAAAUGGGCGCCCGAAGGUCGGGGCGCCAGCACCGCCAAGCGGAAAAAUGGCCAAAAAACGGGUGGGCUAUAGCCUUGGCGGGGGGCGUGGGCGAAGUUCGUCCGCCGGACUCGGAAUGGCCCCAGACUUUGCGGGCGGCCUCCGUGCAACAAAAAUAGGCCACGGGCACAGCCGCGCCCAAAAAUGAGCGCCUGAAGGUCGGGGCGCCAACACCCCCCAGCGGAAAAUUGGCCGAAAAACGGGUGGCGUAUAGCCUUGGUGGGGGGCGUGGGCGAAGUUCGUCCGCCGGACUCGGAAUGGCCGCAGACUUUGCGGGCGGCCUCCGUGUGCCAAAAAUAGGCCACGGGCACAGCCGCACCCAAAAAUGAGCGCCCGAAGUUCGGGGCGCCAGCACCCCCCAGCGGAAAAAUGGCCAAGAAACGGAUGUGCUAUAGCCUUGGCGGGGGGCGUGGGCGAAGUUCGUCCGCCGGACUCGGAAUGGCCCCAGACUUUGCGGGCGGCCUACGUGUGCCAAAAAUAGAGCACGGGCACAGCCGCGCCCAAAAAUGAGCGCCCGAAGGUCGGGGCGCCAACACCCCCCAGCGGAAAAAUGGCCAAGAAACGGGUGUGCUAUAGCCUUGGCGGGGGGCGUGGGCGAAGUUCGUCCGCCGGACUCGGAAUGGCCCCAGACUUUAUGGGCGGCCUCCGUGUGCCAAAAAUAGGCCACGGGCACAGCCGCGCCCAAAAAUGAGCGCCCUAAGGCCGGGGCGCCAACACCCCCCAGCGGAAAAAUGGCCAAAAAACGGAUGGGCUAUAGCCUUGGCGGGGGGCGUGGGCGAAGUUCGUCCGCCGGACUCGGAAUGGCCCCAGACAUUGCGGGCGGCCUUCGUGUGCCAAAAAUAGGCCACGGGCACAGCCGCGCCCAAAAAUGAGCUCCCGAAGGUCGGGCCGCCAACACCCCCCAGCGGAAAAAUGGCCAAAAAACGGGUGGGCUAUAGCCUUUGCAGGGGGCGUGGGCGAAGUUCGUCCGCCGGACUCGGAAAGGCCCCAGACUUUGCGGGCGGCCUCCGUGUGCCAAAAAUAGGCCACGGGCACAGCCGCGCCCUAAAAUGAGCUCCCGAAGGUCGGGUUCCAACACCCCCCAGCGGAAAAUUGGCCAAAAAACGUGUGGGCUAUAGCCUUGGUGGGGGGCGUGGGCGAAGUUCGUC